Molecule: ribosomal RNA, 253 nt
Filed under: uncultured bacterium
Lineage: Bacteria
Description: partial 16S ribosomal RNA
Rfam family: Bacterial small subunit ribosomal RNA
Source: RNAcentral
UACGGAGGGUGCGAGCGUUAAUCGGAAUUACUGGGCGUAAAGAGCGCGUAGGUGGUUUGGUAAGUCGGAUGUGAAAGCCCUGGGCUUAACCUGGGAAUUGCAUUCGAUACUGCCGGACUAGAGUAUGGUAGAGGGAAGCGGAAUUCCCGGUGUAGCGGUGAAAUGCGUAGAGAUCGGGAGGAACACCAGUGGCGAAGGCGGCUUCCUGGACUAAUACUGACAAUGAGGCGCGAAAGCGUGGGGAGCAAACAGG